GAUGAACGCUAGCUACAGGCUUAACACAUGCAAGUCGAGGGGCAUCAUGGCGGUCGCUUGCGACCGCUGAUGGCGACCGGCGCACGGGUGCGUAACGCGUAUCGAACCUGCCGCAUACCCGGGGAUAGCCUUGCGAAAGCAAGAUUAAUACCCGAUGUUCUCACUGUUCCGCAUGUUACGGUGAGCAAAGAAUUUCGGUAUGCGAUGGCGAUGCGUCCCAUUAGCUAGUUGGCGGGGUAACGGCCCACCAAGGCGACGAUGCGUAGGGGUUCUGAGAGGAAGGUCCCCCACACUGGUACUGAGACACGGACCAG
This 314-nucleotide ribosomal RNA is filed under the name uncultured bacterium. Its description in RNAcentral is "bacterial SSU rRNA". It matches the Rfam family "Bacterial small subunit ribosomal RNA", at positions 28 to 334 of the family's 1533-position model. The record is from RNAcentral.